UGAUUUGUAGGGAGGGAGAGGUGCCUGAGGAAUGAUUUGUAGGGAAGGAGAGGUGCCUGAGGAAUGAUUUGUAGGGACGGAGAGGUGCCUGAGGAAUGAUUUGUAGGGAAGGAGAGGAGCCUGAGGAAUGAUUUGUAGGGAAGGAGAGGUGCCUGAGGAAUAAUUUGUAGGGAAGGAGAGGAGCCUGAGGAAUGAUUUGUAGGGAAGGAGAGGUGCCUGAGGAAUGAUUUGUAGGGAAGGAGAGGAGCCUGAGGAAUGAUUUGUAGGGAAGGAGAGGAGCCUGAGGAAUGAUUUGUAGGGAAUGAGAGGUGCCUGAGGAAUGAUUUGUAGGGAAGGAGAGGAGCCUGAGGAAUGAUUUGUAGGGAAGGAGAGGAGCCUGAGGAAUAAUUUGUAGGGACGGAGAGGUGCCUGAGGAAUGAUUUGUAGGGAAGGAGAGGAGCCUGAGGAAUGCUCUUCAGGUGUACAGUCGUUGAUUUUAGAGGUGGAAGAGAGAAGUGCUCAGACUCAAAGGGCUUUGGACUGGCCGUGAGCCAGCAAGCAAACACUGGGCGCCUAUGAGGAGAACCGCUAUGGUGCUGGGGGGAGGUCAGAAAUAGUUGGCUCAUUUUCCAUCUGCAUAUCCAACGAUAGAGAAAUGAUAUAUUCUUCUCUGGAGACCGUGACAUAAAGUUCUAGCCUAAUCAUCAACCAUUCCCCACUCACUCAAACACACGCCUACACAGUACUAUCAGAUGUCUAAACUUGAAGAUUUACAGUAAAAAGGAGCUCUCUUUUUGGGAAGUUGCCUUGGCGAUGGGCCAACAGGGAGUCCGCCUGCUUUGUGUGUAUGUAUGUGUGUGUGCGUGUGUGUGUUGUUGUUGUGACUCAGUGUUUGUGGGCUGCAGAUAACUGUGUCAAAAUUAAAAGCAAAUGUGUCCCAUCUCAAAUGGAUUUUAGGGCUUUAGUAAGAAAAUAACAGUCCUCAGUUUGCCGUGGCAGAUGUUUGUCAGAGUCUAAGAAUGUACUGUACAGACACUGUACAGAUACUAUCUUAAUUUGACCAGUUUCGCACUGCAGGAAAAUAAUCCUGCAGGAACAGGAAAUGUGAAUUAUUAUGUGGAUUGUAAUUAAUGGACGUUUUUAU
Molecule: long non-coding RNA, 1123 nt
Organism: Oncorhynchus tshawytscha (Chinook salmon)
Lineage: Eukaryota; Metazoa; Chordata; Actinopteri; Salmoniformes; Salmonidae
Source: Ensembl